This is a non-coding RNA of Oryza barthii, 207 nucleotides long. Lineage: Eukaryota; Viridiplantae; Streptophyta; Magnoliopsida; Poales; Poaceae. The record is from Rfam.
GCUAACUGUAAUUUUGCACGGUUCAUAUCUAACGUUUGACCGUUCGUCUUAUUUAAAUUUUUUUUAUUAUUAAUAUUUUUAUUAUUAUUAGAUAAUAAUACAUAAAUAUUACUUUAUAUGUGACUAACUAUUUAAAAAUUUUUCAUAAAAUUUUCAAAUAAAACGGGCGGUGAAUGUAGUAGUUGCUAAAUACUAACCCCGCCAAAA